CCUACGGGAGGCAGCAGUGAGGAAUAUUGGUCAAUGGGCGGGAGACUGAACCAGCCAAGUAGCGUGAAGGAUGAAGGCCCAAAGGGUUGUAAACUUCUUUUAUAAAGGAAUAAAGUGAGGCACGUGUGCCUUUAUGUAUGUACUUUAUGAAUAAGGAUCGGCUAACUCCGUGCCAGCAGCCGCGGUAAUACGGAGGAUCCGAGCGUUAUCCGGAUUUAUUGGGUUUAAAGGGAGCGUAGAUGGGUUGUUAAGUCAGUUGUGAAAGUUUGCGGCUCAACCGUAAAAUUGCAAUUGAUACUGGCAGCCUUGAGUACAGUUGAGGUAGGCGGAAUUCGUGGUGUAGCGGUGAAAUGCUUAGAUAUCACGAAGAACUCCGAUUGCGAAGGCAGCUUACUAA
Molecule: ribosomal RNA, 397 nt
Filed under: uncultured bacterium
Lineage: Bacteria
Description: partial 16S ribosomal RNA
Rfam family: Bacterial small subunit ribosomal RNA
Source: RNAcentral